Molecule: ribosomal RNA, 497 nt
Filed under: uncultured bacterium
Lineage: Bacteria
Description: partial 16S ribosomal RNA
Rfam family: Bacterial small subunit ribosomal RNA
Source: RNAcentral
GAUGAACGCUGGCGGCGUGCCCAAUACAUGCAAGUCGAGCGAACAGAUAAGGAGCUUGCUCCUUUGACGUUAGCGGCGGACGGGUGAGUAACACGUGGGUAACCUACCUAUAAGACUGGAAUAACUCCGGGAAACCGGGGCUAAUGCCGGAUAACAUUUAGAACCGCAUGGUUCUAAAGUGAAAGAUGGUUUUGCUAUCACUUAUAGAUGGACCCGCGCCGUAUUAGCUAGUUGGUAAGGUAACGGCUUACCAAGGCAACGAUACGUAGCCGACCUGAGAGGGUGAUCGGCCACACUGGAACUGAGACACGGUCCAGACUCCUACGGGAGGCAGCAGUAGGGAAUCUUCCGCAAUGGGCGAAAGCCUGACGGAGCAACGCCGCGUGAGUGAUGAAGGUCUUCGGAUCGUAAAACUCUGUUAUUAGGGAAGAACAAAUGUGUAAGUAACUGUGCACGUCUUGACGGUACCUAAUCAGAAAGCCACGGCUAACUACGUG